UGCCAGCCGCCGCGGUAAUACGGAGGGGGCUAGCGUUGCUCGGAAUUACUGGGCGUAAAGCGCGCGUAGGCGGCGCACCUAGUGAGGCGUGAAAUCCCCGGGCUUAACCCGGGAACUGCGUUUCAUACUGGUGUGCUAGAAUCCGAGAGAGGGUAGUGGAAUUCCCAGUGUAGAGGUGAAAUUCGUAGAUAUUGGGAAGAACACCAGUGGCGAAGGCGGCUACCUGGCUCGGUAUUGACGCUGAGGUGCGAAAGCGUGGGGAGCGAACAGGAUUAGAUA
Molecule: ribosomal RNA, 279 nt
Filed under: uncultured bacterium
Lineage: Bacteria
Description: partial 16S ribosomal RNA
Rfam family: Bacterial small subunit ribosomal RNA
Source: RNAcentral